This is a long non-coding RNA of Drosophila navojoa, 346 nucleotides long. The record is from RefSeq and is a predicted model, not a curated record. NCBI's taxonomy places the organism in Eukaryota, Metazoa, Arthropoda, Insecta, Diptera, Drosophilidae.
CAAUUUCGAUAACAGUCAACGAUAAGCCAAAUAGAAUCUAACAUUGCCAAUUCGAUUGCGGAGUUCUGCGGUGCCGGAAUAAAUAAAUGUUCGUUGCUCGCUAGCGCAUACCAAUUAGUUAAAAAUAAAAAUAAAUAACAUUCAAGUGCUUGCGAUCGUGUGUAUUGUGGAAUUGUGGGUGAAAUUGAAACUGAAAUUUGUGAAGUGGUUUGCGCGCGUUUCUUGUAACUUACACAUAUAUAUUAUCAAAUAUAUGUAUGUUUAUAUUACCGGUAGAUCGCUGCAGAGAGUGACUUUAUCUAAGUGUUUGCUGAAUUGGGCGGCGUCAAUAGGAAACCAAUAAGCA